GGAUGCGAUCAUACCAGCACUAAAGCACCGGAUCCUAUCAGAACUCCGAAGUUAAGCGUGCUUGGGCGAAAGUAGUACUAGGAUGGGUGACCUCCUGGGAAGUCCUCGUGUUGCAUUCC
This 119-nucleotide ribosomal RNA is filed under the name Triticum dicoccoides. The record is from RNAcentral. Lineage: Eukaryota; Viridiplantae; Streptophyta; Magnoliopsida; Poales; Poaceae.